AGCGAACGCUGGCGGCAGGCUUAACACAUGCAAGUCAAGGGGGUAGCAAUACAACCGGCGCACGGGUGGGUAACGCGUACACAACAUGCCAUAUACUGGAGUAUAGCCUUGGGAAACCGAGGGUAAUCCUCCAUAAUAUUUCGGAUAGGCAUCUAUUUGAAAUUAAAGUUUCGACGGUAUAUGAUUGGUGUGCGUUUGAUUAGGUAGUUGGUGGGGUAAAGGCUCACCAAGCCGACGAUCUGUAGCUGGUCUGAGAGGACGACCAGCCACACUGGGACUGAGACACGGCCCAGACUCCUACGGGAGGCAGCAGUGGGGAAUUUUGGACAAUGGGCGCAAGCCUGAUCCAGCCAUUCCGCGUGCAGGAUGAAGGCCCUCGGGUUUGUAAACUG
RNAcentral lists this ribosomal RNA (392 nucleotides) under uncultured bacterium. Its description in RNAcentral is "bacterial SSU rRNA". It matches the Rfam family "Bacterial small subunit ribosomal RNA", at positions 29 to 432 of the family's 1533-position model. The record is from RNAcentral.